This 253-nucleotide ribosomal RNA is filed under the name uncultured bacterium. Its description in RNAcentral is "partial 16S ribosomal RNA". It matches the Rfam family "Bacterial small subunit ribosomal RNA", at positions 524 to 776 of the family's 1533-position model. The record is from RNAcentral.
UACGUAGGUUGCGAGCGUUGUCCGGAUUUAUUGGGCGUAAAGCGCGCGCAGGCGGUCUUGCAAGUCCACGGUGAAAGCUCCCGGCCCAACUGGGAGAGGCCCGUGGAAACUGCAGGACUUGAAGGCGGGAGAGGCAGAUGGAAUUUCCGGUGUAGCGGUAAAAUGCGUAGAUACCGGAAGGAACACCAGUGGCGAAAGCGAUCUGCUGGCCCGCCCUUGACGCUCAGGCGCGAAAGCUAGGGGAGCGACCGGG